Long non-coding RNA from Lolium rigidum, 682 nucleotides. RefSeq lists it as uncharacterized. Lineage: Eukaryota; Viridiplantae; Streptophyta; Magnoliopsida; Poales; Poaceae. The record is from RefSeq and is a predicted model, not a curated record. The transcript is spliced from 3 exons.
UUCAAGAUGCAUGUUGUUGUUUCUUUCUAAUUAGAUUUGUUACUGCUUCCUUUCAUGAUAUUUUCUUUUGCCUGACCCAGGGCUCAUUGGUUGGUGCCAUGAGCCCAUGAGCUUCCAGGUCAAUUGAUCUACCUGUAGGAUGUUAUUCAUGGCAGUGUGAUUUCUUGCCUAAACCAUGAAACCAUCAGAAGCAGCGAGAGAUAACGCUCGAGGUUCUGAGCAGGAUACGCCAUCCACACCUGCUGAUGCUCCUCGGAGCCUGUCCGGACAGGGGCUGCUUGGUGUCAGUGAAGUCUGACACACACUCUUUUUGCAUGGUGAUCCUUCAGCUGCUGACGGCAAGGCCACCUUGAAUACUUAUAAUUGCUGAAGGUGCUAGGAGGAUAUUCCACCCUGAUGACAAACUGCCACCAUGGUGUGAAGAACUGGAGCGCUAUAACUGUCCGCUCGAUAUUCUCGCCGCCUGGAAUCGUGGCCCAUUGGUCCAGUGAAUUUGCUGUGCAACCUUUGUCAGCUUCCUACUGAUAGUUUAAAGAUAUUUUGCUUAAUUAUACCACACCAGCAUGACUUCCUCCGUAUUAUUACUACUUGAUAAUAUAUUCCUUGUUGUUGUUCACCAAUAGUUGAAUCAUGCUCAUAGAUCUAUGUCCCAUGCAACUAAACUAUGGCAUGUUUCUCAUAG